GGGAGCUUGCUCCUCUGGAUCAGUGGCGAACGGGUGAGUAACACGUGAGUAACCUGCCCUUGACUCUGGGAUAAGCGUUGGAAACGACGUCUAAUACCGGAUACGCGCUUCGGAGGCAUCUCCAGGAGCGGGAAAGAAUUUCGGUCAAGGAUGGACUCGCGGCCUAUCAGGUAGUUGGUGAGGUAAUGGCUCACCAAGCCUACGACGGGUAGCCGGCCUGAGAGGGUGACCGGCCACACUGGGACUGAGACACGGCCCAGACUCCUACGGGAGGCAGCAGUGGGGAAUAUUGCACAAUGGGCGCAAGCCUGAUGCAGCAACGCCGCGUGAGGGACGACGGCCUUCGGGUUGUAAACCUCUUUUAGUAGGGAAGAAGCGAAAGUGACGGUACCUGCAGAAAAAGCACCGGCUAACUACGUGCCAGCAGCCGCGGUAAUACGUAGGGUGCAAGCGUUAUCCGGAAUUAUUGGGCGUAAAGAGCUCGUAGGCGGUUUGUCGCGUCUGCUGUGAAAACUGGAGGCUCAACCUCCAGCCUGCAGUGGGUACGGGCAAACUAGAGUGCGGUAGGGGAGAUUGGAAUUCCUGGUGUAGCGGUGGAAUGCGCAGAUAUCAGGAGGAACACCGAUGGCGAAGGCAGAUCUCUGGGCCGUAACUGACGCUGAGGAGCGAAAGCAUGGGGAGCGAACAGGAUUAGAUACCCUGGUAGUCCAUGCCGUAAACGUUGGGCGCUAGAUGUGGGGACCAUUCCACG
RNAcentral lists this ribosomal RNA (751 nucleotides) under Salinibacterium sp. Its description in RNAcentral is "bacterial SSU rRNA". It matches the Rfam family "Bacterial small subunit ribosomal RNA", at positions 74 to 845 of the family's 1533-position model. Lineage: Bacteria; Bacillati; Actinomycetota; Actinomycetes; Micrococcales; Microbacteriaceae. The record is from RNAcentral.